UACGUAGGGGGCGAGCGUUGUCCGGAAUCAUUGGGCGUAAAGCGCGUGUAGGCGGCCCGGUAAGUCCGCUGUGAAAGUCCAGGGCUCAACCCUGGAAUGCCGGUGGAUACUGUCGGGCUCGAGUCCGGAAGAGGCGAGUGGAAUUCCUGGUGUAGCGGUGAAAUGCGUAGAUAUCUGGAGGAACACCGGUGGCGAAGGCGGCAUCCUGGACCGGUAUUGACGCUGAGGAGCGAAAGCCAGGGAGCAACGGG
Molecule: ribosomal RNA, 251 nt
Filed under: uncultured bacterium
Lineage: Bacteria
Description: partial 16S ribosomal RNA
Rfam family: Bacterial small subunit ribosomal RNA
Source: RNAcentral